GGUCAAGUUAUUAAGGGUGCAGGGCGGAUGCCUUGGCACUAGGAGCCGAUGAAGGACGUGAUAAGCUGCGAUAAGCUUCGGGGAGUUGCACGUAAACUUUGAUCCGAAGAUUUCCGAAUGAGGAAACUCACUUAGAGUAAUGUCUAAGUAUCAUUAAGUGAAUACAUAGCUUAAUGAGGGGAACUCAGGGAACUGAAACAUCUAAGUACCUGAAGGAAGAGAAAGAAAUUCGAUUCCGUAAGUAGCGGCGAGCGAACGCGGAUUAGCCCAAACCAAUAAAGUUUUCUUUAUUGGGGUUGCGGACAUAUCAUAACGAAGAGGUAUCGUAAUUGAAGAGGUUUGGAAAGACCCACCAC
Molecule: ribosomal RNA, 356 nt
Filed under: Clostridioides difficile
Lineage: Bacteria; Bacillati; Bacillota; Clostridia; Peptostreptococcales; Peptostreptococcaceae
Description: partial 23S ribosomal RNA
Rfam family: Bacterial large subunit ribosomal RNA
Source: RNAcentral